AUUGAACGCUGGCGGAAUGCUUUACACAUGCAAGUCGAACGGCAGCACGGGGCAACCUGGUGGCGAGUGGCGAACGGGUGAGUAAUACAUCGGAACGUGCCCAAUCGUGGGGGAUAACGUAGCGAAAGUUACGCUAAUACCGCAUACGAUCUACGGAUGAAAGCGGGGGAUCGCAAGACCUCGCGCGAAUGGAGCGGCCGAUGUCAGAUUAGGUAGUUGGUGGGGUAAAGGCUCACCAAGCCAACGAUCUGUAGCUGGUCUGAGAGGACGACCAGCCACACUGGAACUGAGACACGGUCCAGACUCCUACGGGAGGCAGCAGUGGGGAAUUUUGGGACAAUGGGCGCAAGCCUGAUCCAGCCAUUCCGCGUGCAGGAUGAAGGCC
RNAcentral lists this ribosomal RNA (385 nucleotides) under uncultured bacterium. Its description in RNAcentral is "bacterial SSU rRNA". It matches the Rfam family "Bacterial small subunit ribosomal RNA", at positions 30 to 416 of the family's 1533-position model. The record is from RNAcentral.